UGGGGAAUAUUGCACAAUGGGCGCAAGCCUGAUGCAGCCAUGCCGCGUGUGUGAAGAAGGCCUUCGGGUUGUAAAGCACUUUCAGCGAGGAGGAAGGUGGUGAGCUUAAUACGCUCAUCAAUUGACGUUACUCGCAGAAGAAGCACCGGCUAACUCCGUGCCAGCAGCCGCGGUAAUACGGAGGGUGCAAGCGUUAAUCGGAAUUACUGGGCGUAAAGCGCACGCAGGCGGUUUGUUAAGUCAGAUGUGAAAUCCCCGGGCUCAACCUGGGAACUGCAUUUGAAACUGGCAAGCUAGAGUCUCGUAGAGGGGGGUAGAAUUCCAGGUGUAGCGGUGAAAUGCGUAGAGAUCUGGAGGAAUACCGGUGGCGAAGGCGGCCCCCCUGGACGAAGACUGACGCUCAGGUGCGAAAAGCGUGGGGAGCAAAACAGGAUUAGAUACCCUGGUAGUCCACGCUGUAAAACGAUGUCGAUUUGGAGGUUGUGCCCUUGAGGCGUGGCUUCCGGAGCUAACGCGUUAAAUCGACCGCC
Molecule: ribosomal RNA, 530 nt
Filed under: uncultured bacterium
Lineage: Bacteria
Description: partial 16S ribosomal RNA
Rfam family: Bacterial small subunit ribosomal RNA
Source: RNAcentral